RNAcentral lists this ribosomal RNA (497 nucleotides) under uncultured bacterium. RNAcentral describes it as "partial 16S ribosomal RNA". It matches the Rfam family "Bacterial small subunit ribosomal RNA", at positions 28 to 507 of the family's 1533-position model. The record is from RNAcentral.
GAUGAACGCUGGCGGCGUGCCUAAUACAUGCAAGUCGAGCGACCAGACGAGGAUCUUGCUCCUCUGACGUUAGCAGCGGACGGGUGAGUAACCCGUGGAUAACCUACCUAUAAGACUGGGAUAACUUCGGGAAACCGGAGCUAAUACCGGAUAAUAUAUUGAACCGCAUGGUUCAAUAGUGAAAGACGGUUUUGCUGUCACUUAUAGAUGGAUCCUCGCCGCAUUAGCUAGUUGGUAAGGUAACGGCUUACCAAGGCAACGAUGCGUAGCCGACCUGAGAGGGUGAUCGGCCACACUGGAACUGAGACACGGUCCAGACUCCUACGGGAGGCAGCAGUAGGGAAUCUUCCGCAAUGGGCGAAAGCCUGACGGAGCAACGCCGCGUGAGUGAUGAAGGUCUUCGGAUCGUAAAACUCUGUUAUUAGGGAAGAACAAAUGUGUAAGUAACUAUGCACGUCUUGACGGUACCUAAUCAGAAAGCCACGGCUAACUACGUG